AAGACUAUAGACCUGCGGAGUACCUGCGGAGGGAUCAUUAGUGAACGCCCUCACGGGCUUAUAACUAUUCCAAACCUCUGUGAACCGUGCCCUUCGGGGCUAUUUUACAAACAUGGUGUAAUGAACGUCAUAUAUCAUAACAAAACAAAACUUUCAGCAACGGAUCUCU
Molecule: unclassified non-coding RNA, 169 nt
Filed under: soil metagenome
Description: partial contains 5.8S ribosomal RNA, internal transcribed spacer 2, and large subunit ribosomal RNA
Source: RNAcentral